Long non-coding RNA from Haliaeetus leucocephalus (bald eagle), 2320 nucleotides. RefSeq lists it as uncharacterized. Lineage: Eukaryota; Metazoa; Chordata; Aves; Accipitriformes; Accipitridae. The record is from RefSeq and is a predicted model, not a curated record. The transcript has 8 exons.
UUUUCUCUCCCCUGUCCAGCUGAGGGGGGAGGGGGGGUGCGAAGUGACAGAAUGGCUUUGGUGGGCAUCUGGUGUACAGCCAUGGUCAACCCACUACACUGCCCCGUUGCAGGGGGGAGGGCAGUGAGAGUUAUGGCAAUAUUGAAAAUGAGACAAUUUGUUAAAGCUUGCAACUUUCAGCUUACUCUUCCAGUGAACUUGGCUAAGUUCAACUCCAUUAAUUAUGAUAAGAAAUCACUAUUAACAAAACAAUGUUUAAUUAAAAAAAAAUUUAUUUCACACUUCUAUACAAAUAUCCACAGGUAAUUUCUAAUCAUGGAAUGAUGUAGCAUUGCUAUCUGGUAUAAAAAAAGUUUUGAGAUAGAAGUAUACCAGUGACAUGACUUACUUUUCAAGAACUUUCAGUUUAACACUGCUAAGACAUUCAUGUUCUUAGGUGAGGGCCACAAUCUGCUUUUAAAUCUAAGGCUAUUUGUCAUGCUUCUUAGCCCCUGAUUAGCCUGGCUUCUGAUGCUACUGAGCCUUUCAGCAAAUAAGCUAGAAUUUUAAAAGCUCAAAAACUGGGUAACAGCUAAAUACAUGUGUAAGUGUUCAUAAAAUCAGGGUCACAGCAUACUGAGAUUAUUUAGUGGGAGAAAGAAGAGUCUAUUAUUAAAUCAAUGCACUUCCUAUAAUGAUGACUUUUUAGGUGACAGCACCUUCCAAGAAGGCACGUUCAAAGUUAGUAGUAAAAAUAAGACACUUGACAACUGCCCUCCUAGCAGGUUUUUACCCUAUGAGGGGAAAAAGUACCAAGAGGUUUUUGCAUAGUUCAAAUUACUAGCAAUUAACGUGCAUACUUUUUGAGCAGAAUUUUGUUUCACAUGGAAUAAGCAAUUGUGAACUAAAUCUUCAUUCUUAAAUAGUACCAAAGCUUUAGAACAUGGGUAAAAAAGUAAAUUCUUUAAAUAGUUAUAUCAGUUAUGUUACAAUAACUAGAUUACUGAUAAACACAACAUUGUGGUUCUACUUUUAUCAACAUUCAGGUAUUCAAGACGAUUCAGUAGUCUCAACAUGGAUCAGCUCAGAUCCCCAUACUUAAGCAUGAUAUCGGGGGACACUGUCUUCGUACCUAGAACGCUGGAAGAACCCGCACUGGGGCAGAGAAGAAAAAGAACAGUUUAGGUUUGAAUUGCUGCCAAAGCACUACAAUUAUAGAGGCAGUAAAUUCUUCCUUUGCACAGAUACACAGAAAAACUACUAUAAAAUAUGUCCAUAGCAACUAAAGCUGGCUGUGAAGAGCCAAAACAAGUCUAUACAGAAACCUGUUAGUGAACUACUGCACAGGAGACACAAAAACAGAGGGUAGAACAAAGAUGAGUACUGCUUUGACCUGUACAACACAAGCAUUUGUCUUAAACCAAUCACGUAACUGUCGUUGAAGUACCAUAUUUGUCCUUCAUAAGUUGGCACAGUGUCAUCAAAAGAAGCACUGUACACUGUGGGUGUGCCUGUGAAAAAUGUGUUUUCAUGUGCAGUAAACCACUAGUAGUUAUAACCUAACAGCCCACCCAAAGUAUUAAUUCAUCAGGAAGAUUUGCAGCAGGAGCUGGGCAUUUAUUAGAAAAUACGGAAGUCAGAACUAUCCUGUGAGAAGUAACCUGCAGCAAAUAGUAGGUCCUCAGCAAAGCUAACUGGUGCAGCUUCUCCAGAAGAAGCUGUAGACCAGGAAAUAUAAAAUAACCAGAUGAAUAAAACCUCACCUUCCAUAGUAAGAAUACCAACAGUGCAAGCAUCAGUAUUCCAGCAAAAAUGGCCACAGAGAUGAUCCACCAAGGCGGAAGACCAAAAGAGUGGAACAGACCCACACAUUCAGAGCGGGUCCCACAGUGUCUUCUUGUGCCUGCUCAAUCCUGCACGCAUAUACAUGGUUUUGUCAUCCGAGUCAGGUUGUGGCACUCACUGCUAAAGGAGACGAACUGUUGACAAGCUAAUGCAGUGUUGCAAGGAUGGGAACAGCACUGAGCAUGCCGGGCCUCAGAAGCACGCAGGUGGGCACACGUGAGCUGCCUCCGAGAGCUGGAAGCACUUGACCUGUUGAAGGACCAGGACCUUAUUCAGGCACAUCCUACAGCUUUUACUAGUUACUGAGAAACUCAAGACAACCCGGGGGAAAAUGAGAAAUGUGAACUGUGACCUGACUGUUCCCUGAGAUGCUCGCCAUUUCCUCCAACAAAAUACGGAAGAUGGGAUUUGGCAUUCCUUGUAUUUCUCAUGUGAAAAACCAAAGCAGAGAGAAACCAGAUUGCCAUCCUUCAUUACACAGGCAGCAGGAGUUAAC